GGGGCGUUAGCUCAGUGGUAGAGCAUCUGCCUUUUAAGCAGAGGGCCGUUGGUUCAAUUCCAACACGCCUCA
RNAcentral lists this transfer RNA (72 nucleotides) under Candidatus Rifleibacteriota bacterium. Its description in RNAcentral is "tRNA-Lys". It matches the Rfam family "tRNA". From Rfam's summary of the family: Transfer RNA (tRNA) molecules are approximately 80 nucleotides in length. Their secondary structure includes four short double-helical elements and three loops (D, anti-codon, and T loops). Further hydrogen bonds mediate the characteristic L-shaped molecular structure. tRNAs have two regions of fundamental functional importance: the anti-codon, which is responsible for specific mRNA codon recognition, and the 3' end, to which the tRNAs corresponding amino acid is attached (by aminoacyl-tRNA synthetases). tRNAs cope with the degeneracy of the genetic code in two manners: having more than one tRNA (with a specific anti-codon) for a particular amino acid; and 'wobble' base-pairing, i.e. permitting non-standard base-pairing at the 3rd anti-codon position. The record is from RNAcentral. Lineage: Bacteria; Candidatus Rifleibacteriota.